This is a long non-coding RNA of Mustela lutreola (European mink), 578 nucleotides long. RefSeq lists it as uncharacterized. The transcript has 3 exons. The record is from RefSeq and is a predicted model, not a curated record. Lineage: Eukaryota; Metazoa; Chordata; Mammalia; Carnivora; Mustelidae.
CGCAGAGCCUGGUUCAGCCUUAGGCAGUGGCUUCCAAGGAAGGCCACUCCGACGUGUUUGAAAUCGGGUUCCUUCUCCGACCCACCGUAUUAUCCACAGGAUACGGGCUCAGGAAGAGGAGGUCUAGUUUGGUUUAGAAAUAUCACAAAGAAAAGAACACAUAUAUUACCACAACCCAGAGAAAAAGUUUAUUGACCUCUUGGCCCUAUAUGAUGAUUUCUUCCUCCUCCACCUGGCUGUGAACCAGGAAUGCACUGUUGAUCCUGUUUCAACCACAAGUGAAUGAUAAAAGAGACAACCUGGAAGAAAUCUUGAUCCUUAAAGAACCGCAAAGACCAAAGCGACCAUGCAGCUCUUCACUACUCACCACCUUAACUGUUAUAUGACCAGGAAAUCAAUUCUUACAUUCCUUAAAGCAGUACAUUUAGGGUUUAUUAUAGUCACUUAGCUUUACCAUGACUGAUACACUUUUUAGUCGCAUGCUUUACAAUAUCAUGUAUCUGCCGAUGCCUGGCUCAACUCAAGCAUUUGUGGUAGCAGAAAGUAGUCACAGACAAUAAAAAAAUGAAUGGACAAGA